UACGUAGGGGGCAAGCGUUGUCCGGAAUCAUUGGGCGUAAAGAGCGUGUAGGCGGCCCGGUAAGUCCGCUGUGAAAGUCCAGGGCUCAACCCUGGGAUGCCGGUGGAUACUGUCGGGCUCGAGUCCGGAAGAGGAGUGUGGAAUUCCAGGUGUAGCGGUGAAAUGCGUAGAUAUCUGGAAGAACACCGGUGGCGCAAGCGGAUUGCUGGGCCAUAACUGACACUGAGGAACGAAAGCUAGGGGAGCGAAUGGG
Molecule: ribosomal RNA, 253 nt
Filed under: uncultured bacterium
Lineage: Bacteria
Description: partial 16S ribosomal RNA
Rfam family: Bacterial small subunit ribosomal RNA
Source: RNAcentral